UUCUUUCGUUUAUCGAUGUAAGCAGUUUGUAGAUCUGAAUUCUUGAGGCUGAAUCUGUGUGAAUUUGCAUAAUUUUAAAGACAGCUUCGACAUAAGAAUUGGAAGGAAAAUAUCAAUCGAGGUUCAAAAUGGAAUGUACAUGUGGAAUGCCACUGUUCAUUUGGGGGCAACACUGUUACCGUUGUAGUGCACUAAAUCCCUGGUUCAAAAAAUAUGAAGACGAAGCAGCUAUCGGUGGCGUUGAUGAACUACUAUCGACAUUCAAAAUAAACGAUGAUACUGCUGAGUUUCGUGAUGUGUAUAAUCGAGGCAAAAUGGCAGAUAUAAUAAAAGAAACACAAUCGGAUUUAACAUUGGAAGCAUAUCAAAACGGAUAUAAAUCCGCUAACCCAAAAG
Dreissena polymorpha is the source of this 396-nucleotide long non-coding RNA. RefSeq lists it as uncharacterized. The record is from RefSeq and is a predicted model, not a curated record. Lineage: Eukaryota; Metazoa; Mollusca; Bivalvia; Myida; Dreissenidae. The transcript has 4 exons.